AUGCAUCUAGAUUAGAGUUUGAUCCUGGCUCAGGAUGAACGCUAGCGGCAGGCCUAACACAUGCAAGUCGAGGGGUAGAAUUAGCUUGCUAAUUUGAGACCGGCGCACGGGUGCGUAACGCGUAUGCAAUCUACCUUGUACAGAGGGAUAGCCCAGAGAAAUUUGGAUUAAUACCUCAUAGUAUUUUCAAGUGGCAUCAUUUGAUUAUUAAAGUUCCAACGGUACAAGAUGAGCAUGCGUCCUAUUAGCUAGAUGGUAAGGUAACGGCUUACCAUGGCUACGAUAGGUAGGGGUCCUGAGAGGGAGAUCCCCCACACUGGUACUGAGACACGGACCAGACUCCUACGGGAGGCAGCAGUGAGGAAUAUUGGUCAAUGGGCGCAAGCCUGAACCAGCCAUGCCGCGUGCAGGAAGACGGUCCUAUGGAUUGUAAACUGCUUUUGUACGGGAAGAAACACUCCCUCGUGAGGGAGCUUGACGGUACCGUAAGAAUAAGGAUCGGCUAACUCCGUGCCAGCAGCCGCGGUAAUACGGAGGAUCCAAGCGUUAUCCGGAAUCAUUGGGUUUAAAGGGUCCGUAGGCGGUUUUGUAAGUCAGUGGUGAAAGCCCGCAGCUCAACUGUGGAACGGCCAUUGAUACUGCAAGACUUGAAUUACAAGGAAGUAACUAGAAUAUGUAGUGUAGCCGUGAAAUGCUUAGAUAUUACAUGGAAUACCAAUUGCGAAGGCAGGUUACUACUUGUGGAUUGACGCUGAUGGACGAAAGCGUGGGGAGCGAACAGGAUUAGAUACCCUGGUAGUCCACGCCGUAAACGAUGGAUACUAGCUGUUCGGAGCAAUCUGAGUGGCUAAGCGAAAGUGAUAAGUAUCCCACCUGGGGAGUAGUUCGCAGAAUGAAACUCAAAGGAAUUGACGGGGCCCGCACAGCGUGGAGCAUGU
Molecule: ribosomal RNA, 938 nt
Filed under: uncultured Flavobacterium sp.
Lineage: Bacteria; Pseudomonadati; Bacteroidota; Flavobacteriia; Flavobacteriales; Flavobacteriaceae
Description: bacterial SSU rRNA
Rfam family: Bacterial small subunit ribosomal RNA
Source: RNAcentral